This 228-nucleotide ribosomal RNA is filed under the name uncultured bacterium. RNAcentral describes it as "partial 16S ribosomal RNA". It matches the Rfam family "Bacterial small subunit ribosomal RNA", at positions 524 to 751 of the family's 1533-position model. The record is from RNAcentral.
UACAGAGGUCCCAAGCGUUGUUCGGAUUCACUGGGCGUAAAGGGUGCGUAGGUGGUGGGGUAAGUUUGAUGUGAAAGCUCCGGGCUUAACCCGGAAAUGGCAUUGAAUACUAUCUCGCUUGAGGGUUGGAGGGGAGACUGGAAUUCUUGGUGUAGCAGUGAAAUGCGUAGAUAUCAAGAGGAACACCAGUGGCGAAGGCGAGUCUCUGGACAACUCCUGACACUGAGG